UCAAGCUAAUAAGGGCGCAAGGGGGAUGCCUUGGCAUUGGUAGCCGAUGAAGGACGUAGCGAUCUACGAUAAGCCACGGGAAGUCGAAAGCAGGCAAUGAUCCGUGGAUUUCCGAAUGGGGAAACCCGGCAGAGCAAUACUCUGUCAACUCCUUGUGAAUAAAAUAGCAUUGAGUAGGGAACCUCCUGAACUGAAACAUCUAAGUAGGGAGAGGAAAAGAAAUCAACCGAGAUUCCGCUAGUAGUGGCGAGCGAACGCGGAAGAGGCCAAACCAGCGGUAGAAAUACCGUUGGGGUUACGGACUAGUACAAGUAUCGCAGAGUCUAGCUGAAGUGUGUGGGAAAGCACGCCGAAGAAUGUGAGAGCCAUGUAAGCGAAAGACGAAGCGAGCGACUAGAAUCCAGAGUACGGCUGGGCACGUGAAACCCGGUCGGAAGUCGGGGGGACCACCCUCCAAGCCUAAAUACUACCCAGUGACCGAUAGCGUAUAGUACUGUGAAGGAAAGGUGAAAAGGACCCCGGGAGGGGAGUGAAAUAGAACCUGAAACCUUGUGCCUACAAGCACAUAGAGCACAUCAACGUGUGAUAUGGUACCUUUUGUAGAAUGGUCCGGCGAGUGAAUGUCACUAGCGAGGUUAAGGACUUAAGGUCUGCAGCCGAAGCGAAAGCGAGUCUUAAUAGGGCGAUAAUAGUUAGUGGUAUUCGACCCGAAACCGAGUGACCUAGCCAUGAGCAGGCUGAAGUGGAGGUAAAACUCCAUGGAGGGCCGAACCCACUCCCGUUGAAAUGGUAGGGGAUGACUUGUGGCUAGCGGAGAAAUUCCAAUCGAACUCGGAGAUAGCUGGUUCUCUCCGAAAUAGCUUUAGGGCUAGCCUCAAAUAACAUUACCGCAGGUAAAGCACUGAAUGGGCUAGGGGGCGAAAGCUUACUGAACCCUAUCAAACUAAGAAUGGCGGAUAAUGAAUAUUUGGGAGUCACACUACGUGAGAUAAGUUUCGUGGUGGAAAGGGAAACAGCCCAGACCCACAGCUAAGGUCCCAAAGUACAGUUAAGUGGAAAAGGAUGUGAAGUUGCGCAGACAACCAGGAUGUUGGCUCAGAAGCAGCCACUCAUUCAAAGAGUGCGUAAUAGCUCACUGGUCGAGUGAUUUUGCGCCGAAAAUUUAACGGGGCUAAACUGUACACCGAAGCUUGGGAAUAUACCUCUGGUAUGUUGGUAGGAGAGCGUCGUAUGCGGGGUGAAGUCGUAGCGAAAGCGGCGGUGGACUGCAUAGGAGUGAGAAUGCCGGAAUGAGUAGCGAGAAUUAUGUGAGAAUCAUAAUGGCCGAAAGACUAAGGUUUUAGAAGGAAGGUUCGUCCGCUUCUAGUUAGCCGGGAGCUAAGGCGAGGCCGAAAGGCGUAGUCGAUGCACAUACGGUUGAGAUUCCGUAGCCACCUUAAAUUUAAACUAAGGGACACAUUGAAAGGGAAUAACCCAGGCGUUGGUUGACCUGGGCGUAAGGGAACGAAAAUAAGUAGUGAAGUAUUCUUGGACAGUGGCGAGAAAAGCUUAGUGUAUAUUAUUAGGGUGCCCGUACUGCAAACCGACACAGGUAGUCAGGAAGAGAAUUCUAAGGCCAUCGGGAGAAGCGUUGUUAAGGAACUCGGCAAAUUGACCCCGUAACUUCGGAAUAAGGGGUGCUCACGCGAGUGAGCCGCAGUGAAUAGGUCCAGGCAACUGUUUAUCAAAAACACAGCUCUCUGCUAAAUCGUAAGAUGACGUAUAGGGGGUGACACCUGCCCGGUGCUGGAAGGUUAAGAGGAGGAGUGCAAGCUCCGAAUUGAAGCCCCAGUAAACGGCGGCCGUAACUAUAACGGUCCUAAGGUAGCGAAAUUCCUUGUCGGGUAAGUUCCGACCCGCACGAAUGGUGUAAUGAUCUGGACACUGUCUCAACAACGCACCCGGCGAAAUUGUAGUACCGGUGAAGAUGCCGGUUACCCGCGGCAAGACGGAAAGACCCCAUGGAGCUUUACUGUAACUUAAUAUUGGGUCUCGGUACUUUAUGUACAGGAUAGGCGGGAGACUUGGAAACUAGCACGCCAGUGUUAGCGGAGUCAUCCUUGGGAUACCGCUCUUAAGGUAUUGAGAUUCUAACCUGCAGCCUUGAAUCAGGUUGGGGGACAUUGUUAGGUGGGCAGUUUGACUGGGGCGGUCGCCUCCAAAAGAGUAACGGAGGCG
This 2217-nucleotide ribosomal RNA is filed under the name human metagenome. RNAcentral's name for it is "bacterial LSU rRNA". It matches the Rfam family "Bacterial large subunit ribosomal RNA", at positions 3 to 2308 of the family's 2925-position model. The record is from RNAcentral.